CUUUUUUUAAAAAAAAGUCAAAAUCAAACCAUAAUGGUCACCAUCACCAGGAAAGUGUACCAGAAAUCUGCCAAAUUUGAGGAACAUCUGUCCGUCUUCCAAAAGACAUAUGUGUAUUCUGACAGCCUCAGUACUUUUACUUAUUUUACUUUCAAUCUCUCUUUUUAUUGGCACUUUUGAAGGAAAUAUAUGGGAAUUUCAAUUCAAAAUAUUCUUUUUCUCUCUGACAAAUAAUAUAAUAUAGCACUUAAAUCAGAGAAUAUUCAAGAAGUGGGCA
Molecule: long non-coding RNA, 277 nt
Organism: Pipistrellus kuhlii (Kuhl's pipistrelle)
Lineage: Eukaryota; Metazoa; Chordata; Mammalia; Chiroptera; Vespertilionidae
Exons: 2
Source: RefSeq, a predicted model, not a curated record